AUUACGUCACACCGACCUAUCAGCUGACCUCACAGCUGAUUUCACUCCAGCUGAGACGCCGGCUUUUCACAAGCUAGGAGGAAUAGCUGUCGGUCAACGUGCUUUCCUUUGUCCAUCCAAACGUGCAUUCUGGUCUACUCUUUGCACUCCGAUCUGUUGCCAAAUUCAACUUGGCGUGACACGCUCUCCGCCUCGUACAAGAGUAUCUACCGGUGCCAUCAGCUGUUUGUUGGCUACCCUGUUCAUCUACCAAAGCUCCGAGAGCUCUCUCCUUCUGGCUCAGCGUGGGUUUGAGUUUCCUCUGACUCGUCGGCCUUUAUUGUCUCCCUCCUCUCCUCCUCUGCUGUUGUGGAACGCGCCUGGGUGUAGCUGCAGACUCCCGGUUCGCUCUGAAUUGCUGCUGUUUUGUCCCCCCCUCGAUACGUGCUUCGGACUGACGCGUCGCAGUGUCCGGUCAUCCGAGGGCUAUCACUCCGAAAGCAUUCAGCAGCCCAGCAUAAGUUAACUUGCGCAGGUGGCGCAUGUGGCCGAGUUCAGUGUGUGUGUGAAUGUAGUCUGUGUGAGUGAGUGUCCUGUUAUGUCGUGGUGAGAGCGCGAUUAAUUUGUUUAUUUUGUACAUUUUCUUUGAGGGAUGUUUCUUUCUUUUGUUUGAUUAUUUUCUUUUGACUUGAGUUGAGAACUUCAAUUUGAAUUAUUUUGUUUUUGUUUCUAUAAUUACUGAAUGUGCACGGCUUGUAGCCUAAACCAAUGCCCCUGGCCUGAUGGUAACUUACUAAUUCCCAUCAGUCCUGCUCUCGCCUGUAGCAAUCUCUUUCUGUGGCGAGUUAGAUUUUGCUGGUGGGCCCUGCAAUUCAGUUUAUUUCAUUUUGUUUGUCUUUAUUUGCUGGGCAAGUGGCAGGCCCUUGAUUACCCCCUUAUUUACCCUUUUCUUUUCUGUUAACAGGUGCAGGUAAUCCCAGAGGGAGGUCCUCUUCCCCCCUGGUGGUGGGUCCGGUCACAUGGUGUGCAGUGAAUUGCAGUGCAGUGCAGUGUUACCUGUGUGUGAGUGCAAUAAUUCACCUUCACUUAGUGUGUGCAUGGGCACGAGUGUUUGUGUGUACUUAUCCAAGACUUAGACAGGGGGCUUAGUAUAAUUCCCCCCUCUUGGGUGCACCUGCCCUGUAUUUGAGAACCCUCCCUUUUGUACCGAUUUGUGUGAGUGUGUAUGUGAGUGUGAGUGUGUG
Engraulis encrasicolus (European anchovy) is the source of this 1223-nucleotide long non-coding RNA. RefSeq lists it as uncharacterized. The record is from RefSeq and is a predicted model, not a curated record. Lineage: Eukaryota; Metazoa; Chordata; Actinopteri; Clupeiformes; Engraulidae. The transcript is spliced from 3 exons.